GAUGAACGCUGGCGGCGUGCCUAAUACAUGCAAGUCGAGCGAACAGACGAGGAGCUUGCUCCUCUGACGUUAGCGGCGGACGGGUGAGUAACACGUGGAUAACCUACCUAUAAGACUGGGAUAACUUCGGGAAACCGGAGCUAAUACCGGAUAAUAUAUUGAACCGCAUGGUUCAAUAGUGAAAGACGGUUUUGCUGUCACUUAUAGAUGGAUCCGCGCCGCAUUAGCUAGUUGGUAAGGUAACGGCUUACCAAGGCAACGAUGCGUAGCCGACCUGAGAGGGUGAUGGGCCACCCGGAAACGGGAAAACGGUCCGAACCCCAAGGGGGGGCAGAGGUGGGAAUUCUUCCGAAAGGGGGGAAACCCUGAGGAGGAAACGCGCGGGGGGUAAGAAGGUCUUUCGAUUCGAAAACCUUGUUUUUAGGGAAAAAAAAAAGUUUAAGGUAACAUUCCCGGUUUGAAGGGAACCAAACAAAAAGCCACGGGUAAACACGUG
This 496-nucleotide ribosomal RNA is filed under the name uncultured bacterium. Its description in RNAcentral is "partial 16S ribosomal RNA". It matches the Rfam family "Bacterial small subunit ribosomal RNA", at positions 28 to 507 of the family's 1533-position model. The record is from RNAcentral.